AUGAGGGAAGAUAUACCAUAUAUAUUCACUCCUCAAGGGAAGCUGCAACCUGCAGAACGCAAGAAAGUGUUGUUGUGUGGUUCAUCCUCGCCAUGUCUGGACAUCAAGGAUGAGCACCGGAUCAGCGUCGACGUGUGUGCCCGCAAGGUCGUGGGUUGCGAGGUCUAUGAGCUGGUUGAGCCACCGCGCGAAGACAUCACUUCCCGCUUCGUUCACGCUUGGCCGCUGCCACCGGCUCUCUGCUCAGAGACACGCCACCAUGCGAUGAUUCUUCUUCCACUCGUAGGCCUCCCACUCCAGUAG
This 303-nucleotide ribosomal RNA is filed under the name Triticum aestivum (bread wheat). Its description in RNAcentral is "partial small subunit ribosomal RNA". The record is from RNAcentral. Lineage: Eukaryota; Viridiplantae; Streptophyta; Magnoliopsida; Poales; Poaceae.